GCUGGCAGCUAGCUCUCUGCAACUCUCACAUGGUCGCCUACUAAAGUUAAGCAGGGCUGCGCCUGGUCAGUACCUGGAUGGGAGACCACAUGGGAAAGCUAGGUUGCUGCCGGAA
This 115-nucleotide ribosomal RNA is filed under the name Danio rerio (zebrafish). Lineage: Eukaryota; Metazoa; Chordata; Actinopteri; Cypriniformes; Danionidae. The record is from RNAcentral.